This 459-nucleotide ribosomal RNA is filed under the name uncultured bacterium. RNAcentral describes it as "SSU rRNA". It matches the Rfam family "Bacterial small subunit ribosomal RNA", at positions 26 to 518 of the family's 1533-position model. The record is from RNAcentral.
AGAAUCAACGCUGGCGGCGUGACUAACACAUGCAAGUCGAACGAGAAAGUGGAGCAAUCCAUGAGUAAAGUGGCGCACGGGUGAGUAACACGUGACUAACCUACCUUUUAGUGGGGGAUAACCUAGGGAAACCUGGGCUAAUACCGCAUAAUACCUACGGGUCAAAGCAGCAAUGCGCUGGAAGAGGGGGUCGCGGCCGAUUAGCUAGUUGGCGGGGUAAUGGCCCACCAAGGCAGUGAUCGGUAUCCGGCCUGAGAGGGCGCACGGACACACUGGAACUGAAACACGGUCCAGACUCCUACGGGAGGCAGCAGUGGGAAUUUUGCGCAAUGGGGGAAACCCUGACGCAGCAACGCCGCGUGGAGGAUGAAGACCCUUGGGUCGUAAACUCCUUUCGAUCGGGACGAUAAUGACGGUACCGGAAGAAGAAGCCCCGGCUAACUUCGUGCCAGCAGCCGC